This 72-nucleotide transfer RNA is filed under the name Myxococcus xanthus. Its description in RNAcentral is "tRNA-Ile". It matches the Rfam family "tRNA". From Rfam's summary of the family: Transfer RNA (tRNA) molecules are approximately 80 nucleotides in length. Lineage: Bacteria; Pseudomonadati; Myxococcota; Myxococcia; Myxococcales; Myxococcaceae. The record is from RNAcentral. RNAcentral also lists the same sequence under 1 other name.
CGGGGUAUCGCUCAAGGGUAGGGCACUCGUCUGAUACGCGAGAAAUCUCGGUUCGAGUCCGAGUACCCCGAC